RNAcentral lists this ribosomal RNA (289 nucleotides) under uncultured Dialister sp. RNAcentral describes it as "partial 16S ribosomal RNA". It matches the Rfam family "Bacterial small subunit ribosomal RNA", at positions 71 to 339 of the family's 1533-position model. Lineage: Bacteria; Bacillati; Bacillota; Negativicutes; Veillonellales; Veillonellaceae. The record is from RNAcentral.
AAGAGAAGCUUGCUUCUUUUGGAAUCGAGUGGCAAACGGGUGAGUAACACGUAAACAACCUGCCUUCAGGAUGGGGACAACAGACGGAAACGACUGCUAAUACCGAAUACGCUUGGGAGACCGCAUGAUCUUCCAAGGAAAGGGUGGCCUCUACCUGUAAGCUAUCGCCUGAAGAGGGGUUUGCGUCUGAUUAGGCAGUUGGUGAGGUAACGGCCCACCAAACCUACGAUCGGUAGCCGGACUGAGAGGUUGAACGGCCACAUUGGGACUGAGACACGGCCCAGACUCC